This 329-nucleotide ribosomal RNA is filed under the name uncultured eukaryote. RNAcentral describes it as "partial 18S ribosomal RNA". It matches the Rfam family "Eukaryotic small subunit ribosomal RNA", at positions 1470 to 1796 of the family's 1831-position model. The record is from RNAcentral.
CCCUUAGAUGUUCUGGGCCGCACGCGCGCUACACUGAGUGUCUGAGAUACGAGUCUGCCUGGUCCGGCAAGGUCUAGGUAAUCGCUAAAAGACACAUCAUGCUUGGGAUAGAUUAUUGCAAAUAUUAAUCUUGAACGAGGAAUUCCCAGUAAGCGCAAGUCAACAGCUUGCGUUGAUUACGUCCCUGCCCUUUGUACACACCGCCCGUCGCUACUACUGAUUGGAUGUUUAAGCGAGGUUCUCGAACUGCUAGCGACUUAGCUUCGGUGAGGUCGCAGUGUGGGAAGUGAACCUAGCUUUGGUGUCUAGAGGAAGUAAAAGUCGUAACA